AGCAGCCGCGGUAAUUCCAGCUCCAAUAGCGUAUAUUAAAGUUGUUGCAGUUAAAAAGCUCGUAGUUGAACUUCGGGAUCAAUGGAUUGGUCAUGCCGAUGGUGUGUACUGGUCAUAUUGGUUCUCACCUUCUAAGGAACCAUAAUGUCAUUUAUUUGAUGUUGUGGGGAAUUAGGACUGUUACCUUGAAAAAAUUAGAGUGUUUAAAGCAGGCUAACGCUUGAAUACAUUAGCAUGGAAUAAUGAAAUAGGACAUCGCAUUCUAUUUUGUUGGUUUCUAGGAUCGAUGUAAUGAUUAAUAGGGAUAGUUGGGGGCAUUAGUAUUCAAUUGUCAGAGGUGAAAUUCUUGGAUUUAUUGAAGACUAACUACUGCGUAAAGCAUUUGCCAAGGAUGUUUUCAUUAAUCAAGAACGAAAGUUAGGGGAUCGAAGACGAUCAGAUACCGUCGUAGUCUUAACCAUAAACUAUGCCGACUAGGGAUCGGAUGAUGUUGAUUUUUAAUGUAA
Molecule: ribosomal RNA, 506 nt
Filed under: uncultured Glomus
Lineage: Eukaryota; Fungi; Glomeromycota; Glomeromycetes; Glomerales; Glomeraceae
Description: SSU rRNA
Rfam family: Eukaryotic small subunit ribosomal RNA
Source: RNAcentral